This 2837-nucleotide long non-coding RNA is filed under the name Malus domestica (apple). RNAcentral's name for it is "long non-coding RNA (MDOM_LNC009701)". Lineage: Eukaryota; Viridiplantae; Streptophyta; Magnoliopsida; Rosales; Rosaceae. The record is from RNAcentral.
UUGAUACAGCAAGCAAAAUUUACAACAAAGUACAUUGCUUUCAAAUUUUCUAAUUCUCCGGUUUAGAUCUUCCGUUUUGAUUCUUUCGACUGCGAUCUGUUUACUGGGGAUUUGGAGGUCGGCUGUUGGCGGCCGAAACUCGGGAUCCCCAUUCCAGCAGCUCUUUGCUAGUGUCAUCCUUGUGCACAAACACUUCAAUAAAGCAUAGACUAUCCUUGUGCUCCCCUGUUGCCUUGGCAAUUGCUUCUGUUAAAUCCUCCUCCGUUCGUACCUGUAUCAAAGCAAGAAUAAUCAUCGUCCCCUGCAUCAGAUUAGCUAUAGCGAUUAGGAAAGUUGUUUCUUUUAUGCUAACCUUGGUGGUCCAGCAUUUGCCUUCGCCAUUGUGGAUGGCAUCGACAAGGCCGGUGUAAUCCCAGUUCUUAAUCACAUUGUAUGGGCCAUCGUGAAUCUCUACUUCAAUUGUGUAGCCUCCGUUGUUGAUAAGAAAUAUAAUGGUGUUUUGUCCACAUCGGAUCAUUGUAGAAAUGUCCUGUGCAGUUACCUGAAAGGAGACACUAUUUACCAACCAAGCGCCAUAUAUAUCUCUCUAAAACAUGAACUUUUCCGAUCGGAAUAAUUACAAGGCAAUGGUAAUUUCUUUAUCUUUCACCGUUUUAAAUGAUUAAAACAAAAGAAGAAAUUGUUUUGCAGAAAAAUUAUUUUACAGUCAGUCGCAUUCCAGCUCCAUGGUACUCUUGAACCUGAUAUAACUAACCUGGAAACUCCCAUCACCAAUGCAAGCGAUCACCCGUUUAUCUUUGGCACCCUGAGCAUAGCCAAGAGUGGCGCCCACCGACCAUCCAAUGGAUCCAUACUGCAUCUGAAAUUCAUACCUGAAUAAAAAUGAUACAACUGGUUGGUAGUCCGUUGCAUAACACGCAAAGUUAAUCAUAUUCGAGAACCACAUAAAUGAGUUGUCUAAAGGAAACCGCAUCAUACCCGCAAUUCUCAGGCAGUCGGAGCUUCUGACAAUUGAACCAUGAGUCUCCAGUUUCGGCAAUUAUCGCAGAGUCUCCACUGAUAAUCUCCUGUAAAAAGUUCAAUAAAUAAAUUAACAAUUAGAAAUCUCAAUAUGAAGCACGAACAGAACAUAGACAGCUCAAGUAUACAAAACAGAACACUCUGCUCCUACCUGAAUGUGCUUGAAAAGAAUAUUGACCCUCAGAGGUUCAUCCUUCUCACUCUUCAGAGGGAUGCCAUGGGGAACAAAGAUACGGUGGUAAUUCUCAACAGCAGUACUGUUUUUCUUUAGCUUCUUGGCCAAUGCACUCAAGAAGUCCGCCAUGAAAACCCAGCCAAAGGACGGACCAUCCCCAAUUGUCACACGAUUUGGCUGCACGACAAUCGCUUUCUCCUUCUUGAUCAACAAGGAAUACCCCACAGAGCUAUAAUCAUUGAAAAUGGGUCCAACAAAAACAUAAGCAUCAGCAGACUCCACAAUCUCACCGCAGAAGGUGGUGCUCACAGCACCCCAAUAAGUCCCAAUGAAAUGCGGGUGGUGCUCGGGCACCAAACCCUUAGCAGAGGGCAUAACAGUGAUCGGGUACCCGCUAGCAUCUGCAAACUCCAUAAAGGCCUGCUGUGCCUUGGCUACUCUCAACUUGGGCCCUCCGACAAUCACGGGUUUCACAGCCUUGUUGAGAAAAGCAGCGGUGGCUUCAACUGCUGCCUCCAAACCACAUUGGUUGCUUACUUUCGGAGCAAGGAAGAAGGGGACCGGGUCUCUGGCAAAUGUGGGAUGAGGAAUUGCAGGCAGGUUGCAGCCUAGGUUGAUGUAUACAGGCUUGCUUUCUUUCAAUGCUGUUGAGAUUGCUGUGUCUAUCUGCUCAUGUGCAUCUCCCAAAUUGUUCACCACUGCCUGUCACAACAAUUUGCACCAAAUUCAAUAUAUUUGGAAACACAAAGGGCAUAUUUAUAACUAGGGAAACUUUUAACACUGCCCCCUGAACUUAGGAUCUGAUUCUGAUAUGCCCUAAUCUUUCAAAAAGUAUCGAUUUACCCCUACAAUCAAUCAAACUUUCUGUCAAAAGGAAAUAGUAGAGGCUCGUUUGGGAUAUGUUUUUUUCAAGACUCAAAACUUUUUAAAGAAAAUAUUUUUGGGUUCCGCCUUUCACUUCAAAUACUUUUUUAAAAUUAAUUUGUAUUUUUACUAAAAAUUGGUUGUAAAAACAUUUUAGUUAAAAAAAUGCUUUCACAAUUAUACAAAAGCACUUUCUGAACCAGCCCUAGUUUUGUCCAUUUAAGUUUAGGUUCGGUGUUCAAAACAAAACUAAAAGCAGAAGAGGCAAAUCGGAAAGAAAGCAUAAGUUCAAGGGCAUUGGUAAAUUUUUUUUCAUUUUUUCUAAAACGAGACUAUAUUUUUAGAAACAUUAACGAAAAGGGAUUGAAAUAUUUAAGUUUUAAUGAUAAAGAUAAAAUAAAUAAGAAAAUAAAUAGUAUCAGAUCUGAGUACCUAAAAAAUAUGGUUGUUCAUUAAAAUAAACAUUACGGGAGUUAUUUUUUAUUUUUAUUUUUUCUAGUAAGACUGAAGACAUGAAAGAGCUUUACCUGAUGACAGGUGACGGUUUGGAAGCACCGAAGCUCCUGAGUGAAAUCGGGCAACCCGAUCGUGUGGUGGAGGAUCCGGUUCGUGCCGUAAUCGUUGGAGUUCGGCCCACCUACUAUGCAGAUGACCGGCAAGUUCUCGCUGCACGCACCGGCGAUCGCGUUCAGCACACUGAGCCCGCCGACGGUGAACGUAACGACGCACGCUCCAACCCCCCUGGCGCGCGCGUAGCCGUCAGCAGCAUAACCGGCGU